This 632-nucleotide ribosomal RNA is filed under the name uncultured Clostridium sp. Its description in RNAcentral is "bacterial SSU rRNA". It matches the Rfam family "Bacterial small subunit ribosomal RNA", at positions 98 to 746 of the family's 1533-position model. Lineage: Bacteria; Bacillati; Bacillota; Clostridia; Eubacteriales; Clostridiaceae. The record is from RNAcentral.
GCGGACGGGUGAGUAACACGUGGGUAACCUGCCUCAUAGAGGGGAAUAGCCUUUCGAAAGGAAGAUUAAUACCGCAUAAGAUUGUAGUACCGCAUGGUACAGCAAUUAAAGGAGUAAUCCGCUAUGAGAUGGACCCGCGUCGCAUUAGCUAGUUGGUGAGGUAACGGCUCACCAAGGCGACGAUGCGUAGCCGACCUGAGAGGGUGAUCGGCCACAUUGGGACUGAGACACGGCCCAGACUCCUACGGGAGGCAGCAGUGGGGAAUAUUGCACAAUGGGGGAAACCCUGAUGCAGCAACGCCGCGUGAGUGAUGACGGUCUUCGGAUUGUAAAGCUCUGUCUUUAGGGACGAUAAUGACGGUACCUAAGGAGGAAGCCACGGCUAACUACGUGCCAGCAGCCGCGGUAAUACGUAGGUGGCAAGCGUUGUCCGGAUUUACUGGGCGUAAAGGGAGCGUAGGUGGAUAUUUAAGUGGGAUGUGAAAUACCCGGGCUUAACCUGGGUGCUGCAUUCCAAACUGGAUAUCUAGAGUGCAGGAGAGGAAAGGAGAAUUCCUAGUGUAGCGGUGAAAUGCGUAGAGAUUAGGAAGAAUACCAGUGGCGAAGGCGCCUUUCUGGACUGUAACUGACAC